GACGAACGCUGGCGGCGUGCUUAACACAUGCAAGUCGAACGGAGACGGCAGAGCUUUCUCUGCCUGAUCAGUGGCGAACGGGUGAGUAACACGUGAGUAACCUGCCCCUCACUUCGGGAUAACCUCUGGAAAUCGUGGCUAAUACCGGAUAUGAGAUCUUACUGCAUGGUGGGGGCUGGAAAGAUUCCUCGGUGGGGGAUGGACUCGCGGCCUAUCAGCUUGUUGGUGAGGUAACGGCUCACCAAGGCGACGACGGGUAGCCGGCCUGAGAGGGGGACCGGCCACACUGGGACUGAGAUACGGCCCAGACUCCUACGGGAGGCAGCAGUGGGGAAUAUUGCACAAUGGGCGAAAGCCUGAUGCAGCGACGCCGCGUGAGGGAUGAAGGCCUUCGGGUUGUAAACCUCUUUCAGCAGGGAAGAAGCGAAAGUGACGGUACCUGCAGAAGAAGCGCCGGCUAACUACGUG
RNAcentral lists this ribosomal RNA (468 nucleotides) under uncultured bacterium. Its description in RNAcentral is "partial 16S ribosomal RNA". It matches the Rfam family "Bacterial small subunit ribosomal RNA", at positions 28 to 507 of the family's 1533-position model. The record is from RNAcentral.